RNAcentral lists this ribosomal RNA (253 nucleotides) under uncultured bacterium. RNAcentral's name for it is "partial 16S ribosomal RNA". It matches the Rfam family "Bacterial small subunit ribosomal RNA", at positions 524 to 776 of the family's 1533-position model. The record is from RNAcentral.
UACGUAGGCAGCAAGCGUUGUUCGGAAUUACUGGGCGUAAAGAGUGUGUAGGCGGUGCUCUAAGUCUGUUGUGAAAUCUCCCGGCUUAACCGGGAGGGUGCGGCGGAAACUGGAGUGCUUGAGGGUGGGAGAGGUAAGCGGAAUUCCUGGUGUAGCGGUGAAAUGCGUAGAUAUCAGGAGGAACACCUGUGGUGUAGACAGCUUACUGGACCACUUCUGACGGUGAGACACGAAAGCGUGGGUAGCAAACAGG